CGCUCUACCCUCCCACCCAGCAUCUCGAAGGCAGAACACUACCGGGGCGCUCUAGGCUUAGCUAACUCUGUGGUGAAGCCUUUCCCGUUGGAAAUUAAAGAGGCAACUCGAGUGACUAGAGAGGGGGAAAUGACUCCCUUCUUCUCUCCUCCUUCGCAGCAAGUCAUGAGGGACACGGUGAACUCCCAGUGCGAUUCCUUCCUUUACUGGAGGAUUCCGGAACUGGGCCUUUCCCGGUUGGAAUGUCAGCUUGACCGAUGCGGUCAAGAUUCUAGUCCUCAAGAAGAUGCUGAGGAUGUCCAGCUGGAUUAUGGCCGCUGGUGGCAGCCAGGCCAAAGGAAGGAGCCUUGAGGUUUCACCUUAGCAAGAACACCCGCUUCCUCGGUUUGUUGUGCUAGUUUAAAAGAAGCAGAAAAAAGCCUGGUCUCGAGUCUUGGCAGUGAAUGCUGUGGCCGCCACAGCAUGUCUGACCGGAGAAUGAGAAAAAUUCAGUAUGGAGCAGCCUCUUAGGUUGAGUGAGGCCAUGAAGCAGCCCUUCCUCCCAAUGUGCGUGGUGCAGAUUGAAAACCAGAAGCUUGUGAGUCGGGUUGCGAACCUGCCAGGAUCUUCUCCCUGGAGUCUCGGGAAUCCACAUCAACCUCCAGGAAACAGUUUCCCUCUGUUGGGAAGAAAAGCUGUGUACAGAAGUUGGUCCGAUGAUGCCUCCCAGCUGUGAUUUCCAAGAAAUGACCCUCUCAAGCCGGUCUUGUGCCCUAAUCGUAUGAAUGAGAGAAGCCACUGAACAGUGUCUGGAUUUGUCACUACAGGGAAUUGCUAACCCCUGCUAACUUGGCCAAGAGGCACCUUUUAAUGUUUUGAUUCUCUCUAUUUAGCAGGGGGAGAGUAACUGGCUGUAUCCACCCCCAGCACAGCAUCCCUCCAGUGACUCUUGCUGGUGUCUAUCUUAUGUUUCUUUUUCGAUUAUGUAAAUAAGAUUGUGAGCCCUUUGGCAGGGGCGUAUCUAGGGUAGGGCAGGCAGGGCACGUGCCCCGGGUGCCACUUGAAGGGGGGCACCAUUUUUUAAAAUGAAAAAAAAUUUUUUUUUCAUGGCCACCGAAAACAAAAUGGCCACCACACAUGCUCAAAUGGCCUCUGCAAGGCCCUAGUAUCUGGGGAAAGUAAAUUCUCCAUUUAUUUUUAAAACUUAUGUAAUAGUGAUGCUACAAUGCAUAGUAGAGAAUUAGACAGGCACUUCUGUUUAGUUUUCCAAGUACACCUCCACAUAGAAUUUGGGUAUUUCAUGAGCCCCAGCAUGCUGAAAUUAGUAGUUUUCGAGCAUUUCUUGGUCUUGCUACGUCCACUGCUAAAUAGUUUUUGAAAUAUUAAAAGAUUAACGAGCUUGACUUGUAUUUUUGAGCUGAUAUUAUGGUAAAGUUAUCUGAAAAAUGGGUGUCAGAUGUUUGGACAGGGGGUGCAAUUUCAGUGCUUGCCCUAGGCGCUGUUUUCCCUAGAUACGCCUCUGCCCUUUGGGGACAGGAUUCCAUCUUAUUUGUUUGUUAUUUCUCUGUGUAAACCUCCCUGAGCCAUUUUUUGAAGGGCUGUAUAGAAAUCAAAUGAAUGAAUGAAUGAAUGGUCUAGCAAUAAUGACCAGAUGAGCCUAGGCCCUCAGCCUCGCUCUGGGCUUUCUCAUAUAACAUAGUAUAGCAAAACUGUGUUAACACCAGUGCAGCAAGAGAGAGAACAUCCUCCUGUUGUUGGAGCCUUUGCCUCCUUCAGAGGGAGCGAGCCGGCCACCCCCUGGCAAAUUGUUCGACUUGGGUUAACCAGCAAGUUUAAUGGACUUCAUUUAGGACACAGCCGAGACCAGGCUUUUCUCUGCUGCUUUUAAACUAGCACAACAAACCGAGGAAGAGGGUGUUCUUGCUCAUUCCGGCCGCGUUAAGUCUUCACUGUGCUUAUUCUGUAUGCGUUGGAGCGUUGCGUGGAGUCCCUGCUGCCUCUUGUGGUUUGGGGGAUCCAGUGACUACAGUCCCCCCCCCAAAAAAAAUCCAUUCUAUUGUUAGGGCUCUCGCCCUGCGCCCCAACGGCUACGAAUCAGGUCUGAUCUGACACCAUACUCCAUUUCCCCUUAGAGCCGGCCAGGAAUGGUCAUCAUCCCCCCCCGCCCCCUUUUCCAGGUUUCCAAAGUCAUUCUUCAGACUCUUCACACACCUCACUGGUGUGUGCAACAACCACAAUAAUUGGUGUGUGCAAUAACCACAAUAAUUGCUCUUAACAUGCACCUUUUUUUUUUUUUUGCAGUUUAAUCUUGAAUACAUCUGAGUGCUGUCCUUUGAACCUUGCUGGGAAUCAUCUUGUUAAACUCCCUCCCCACAGAAAACCCGCCUGAUACUUGUGCUGUUAUCCUUUUCCGUUCUAGCAGCUGGCUUUAAUCGCUCUGACCUUUUUGCCCCUGAAAACUCUACCUUUUCUUAACUGUAAGCCGCUUUAGAUUCCCCCCCCCUUUAAAUUGAGAAGUGGUAUACACAUUUAGGCUAAUGUCGCCUACACUGACUGGCAGCAGCUUUAAUAUCGCACACACUGACCGGCAGCAGCUCUCCAGGGUUUCCGACAAGGGUCUUUCCCAGUCCCAUCUGGAGCAGCUUCGAGGGCCUGGGGCUGCCUAGCAAAUCACCGAAAUGUCUUUUGUCCUGGACCUCCCUCUGGCCAUCCUAUUUGAUCUGUAUGUGGGGGGCGGCUUUCCUCUUCUCUUUCCCCCGGACAGCAGAAGAGCAUCCGAGAGAAGAGAGCAGGGGUGGGGGGGAUGCAUUGAAUAAGUGUUGAGUGAAUGCCCACCCGUCAUAUACUGCUUCUGAACCAUCCAGAACUGAUAGAGAAACGGGCCUUUUUCUCCUAGAAGAGGCUACAGGCAAAGGGAUAGGGAAAUAAAGACAGGAACAGAAUGGGCCAAAAUACUGGCAGGCCAGAUUUUGCCUGGGAGCCGCUUGUUGCUAACUAUUCCUGUGGCUGUUCCUUGCAAUCAAUGCAAUUCAUUCCACACAUAUGCCUGGUGACCAGGGGUGUAUCUAGGGUGGGGCAGGCAGGGCACGUGCCCCGGGCACCACUUGAAGGGGGCACCAUUUCUUAAAAUUAAUUUUUUUUAAAAGCCUGCCAAAAACAAAAUGGCCACCGCGCAUGCUCAAAUGGCCUCUGUGAGGCCCUAGGCCAUACCAGGCCUCACAGAGGCCACUUGAGCAUGCAUGGUGGCCAUUUUGUUUUCAGCUGCCAUUUUUUUAAAAAAAAAAAAUUUUAAAAAUGGCCACUGCACAUGCUCAAAUGGUCCCUGUGAGGCCCUAGAGGCCAGGAGGGGGGACCUUUGCAGACUCCCAGCCACGGCCUUUAGGAAGCCCCCCGAAGGGGCUACAGGUAAUUUUUUUUU
This is a long non-coding RNA of Hemicordylus capensis (graceful crag lizard), 3397 nucleotides long. RefSeq lists it as uncharacterized. The transcript has 4 exons. The record is from RefSeq and is a predicted model, not a curated record. NCBI's taxonomy places the organism in Eukaryota, Metazoa, Chordata, Lepidosauria, Squamata, Cordylidae.